UCUUUGAAAUAGUGUAUUGGUUUUCCGUCCCCCCCGGCGACUGUCGGCUCCGGGAUGGAAUGAAAAGGGAAUUCCGUGCCCCGUCAGAUGCUGACGUUUAUCAUAGAUAUGACGGGAAAUCGGAAGCUGUACCCGCAACUGUAAAUCCAUUGCUACGCUGUCUCCAACCUUUUGCCACUGUCCCGGUAACCGGGAUGGGAAGGCCGGACAGCAGGAUGAGCCAGAAGACCUGCCAAACGAUCCUAUUUCUU
This 251-nucleotide non-coding RNA is filed under the name Fodinibius roseus. The record is from RNAcentral. Lineage: Bacteria; Pseudomonadati; Balneolota; Balneolia; Balneolales; Balneolaceae.